AUUCAGCUAACGAGUUCCAAAUAGGACGAAACGCGUGUCCUGGUU
Molecule: non-coding RNA, 45 nt
Filed under: Schistosoma mattheei
Lineage: Eukaryota; Metazoa; Platyhelminthes; Trematoda; Strigeidida; Schistosomatidae
Source: RNAcentral